This 126-nucleotide non-coding RNA is filed under the name Strigamia maritima. Lineage: Eukaryota; Metazoa; Arthropoda; Chilopoda; Geophilomorpha; Linotaeniidae. The record is from RNAcentral.
GUGUUGUAUGAAAGGAGAGAAGGUUAGCACUCCCCUUGACAAGGACGGAAUGGACUUCGGUCCUAAAACACACAUGAUGGUUAAGGCACAGCUGCAUACUUCGCAGCUCUUAACCGAAUUUUUUUU